This 2416-nucleotide long non-coding RNA is filed under the name Homo sapiens (human). Its description in RNAcentral is "HSALNT0361505". Lineage: Eukaryota; Metazoa; Chordata; Mammalia; Primates; Hominidae. The record is from RNAcentral.
CCUGACACUCACCGUGGCUCGCCGGGAGCGCCCGCGCCCGCGCCCGCACUCGGAUCCCGCGGCGGCGGCGGCGGAAACCAAUUUUAGGAACGUUGAGUGCCAGACCCUUCCUAAAAUCCCUGGUUUGCCAAAGUCUCAACGAGAGAACGGAUACUUAGUAUUUCUAGAAGGCAUUUCCACCCCGAGGACUGCAAGUGUUCUCACGUUCUUUGCGUUCAUCAUGACCUCCAAGUGUCCCACUGGAGCUGUCAUUCCCGUAGUUCCAAAGAGAAUACUCGAGCGCGGAGCGAUUCCAUUGCAUUUCCUUCCAGUAGCCAGGUUUUGACCACUUACUGAAGAGUAGACACCAGCCCCGCGGCAGCGCUCUCUGCUGCAAAAAGCUGUCUACGGAGCAAGACGGAAGGAAACAGUUACAGAAAAUAAAAAUUUGAUAACGACAUGCGACUCGGUUGCUGAGAGGACAGAGAAAGUGACUUAUUUUUGCAUCUCAGGCACUUUGUAGAGGGCCUUUAGCACAAAGAACUCCCGGCUCUUCCAGAUGUUAAACUCCCUGAAUAGAAGGACAGCGUCUUCUUUUUCGUUAUCCAUCAUGUCAGCUCUCCUUUAGCGCCUGCUGGGGUAGGGUGGAGUGGUGGGGGCGGGGCUGGCACCCAACAAGUGCACCAUAAAUAUCUGUUGGCUGGAUACAUGAACAAAUGGAAUUAAAUAAAUUGGCCUAAUUCUGUUACCCAGACUGGCCCCCGUGACUCUAGACUUCUAGCCUGAGACAGAGUCUUGCUAUGCUGCCCAGGCUGGACUCGAACUUCUAGACUCGAGCAAUUCUCAUGCCUCAGCCUCCCAAGUGGCUGAGACUAUAGGCAUGCCACCACACCCAGCUCUUUUGAUGUAAUUUUUAUCCCAUCAAAGUUUUGUCAUCUUGCUUUUAAAAAAUUAUCACAUGCAUUCUCUCUUGUUAUUGAGCCUCCUUCUACAACUGGCUGUCUAAUGGCUGCAGCAUUUUUAUUGUAUGGAGAAACUAUACCUCAUGCAAAACUCUCUCAUUGAAAGCGUUCACAUAGUUCCUAAUGUUUCUUUAUUAUACAGAUGGCCCUGGGCUCACAGUGGUUUGAGUUACGAUUUUUCUAGUUUAUGAUUGGCAUAUUGGGAUAUUAAAUGUAUUUUCAACUUUCAAUAUUUUUGACUUGCCAUGGGUUUUUCGGGACAUAACCCCAUCGUAAGUUGAGGCUCAUCUGUAAACAGUUUUGAAAAGAACAUCCUUUGGGAUUUUUAAACCUCAGGGCCCUCUGGAAGCUGUAGGCUAAUGGGACUGGCCCACAGCUUUCCUACUCUACUUCAUUACCACACUGGGUUUCAAAGAAUCAGCUGGUAUAGACAGGAAAUACAACUUACAUAUUUUUUUCUUAUAAGGUUUCAAUGUUAUCUCCUCCUGCUGCUGCUUCUCUCUCUGCCAUAAAACUUAUUUUAAAGACAUGGAAAAUUAUAUGCACUUGAGUUAAAUACAAAACCACAAGUGACUAUAGCUUGAUAAGUGGUCUUUGGGAAAUUUAUGAGCCAAAAUCUGUGUCAUAAAUUGAUAGCACUCCAGCUAACAAAAGAUUGACAAUAAAACUUACUGUAAAUAAAACCAUCUAAAUCUUGAGUAUGAAUAAAGUCCAUUAGUUUGGGUUGUAUUUUUAUUAUUGUUGUUUUUGACUCCUGUGCUGCAUGUACAUUUUCUUUUAUUCAUCUACUGCAAAAUCAUACAUUUGCACAUUUACCAGAGAAGGGCAAGAAAAUAUAAUCAAGUGAUAUUACUUCUUAGACCUUGGAAGAUUUGGAUAGGUGAGAAAGGUGAAAGUCAACAGCCAAAAAAGAAAGAGAGAGAAAGAAAGAAAGAAGAGAGAGAGAGAAAGAAAGAAAAAGAAAGAAAGAAAGAAAGAAAAGAAGGAAAAGAAAGAAGGAAGGAGAAAGAAAGAGAAAGAAAGAAAGAAAGGAAAGAAAAAGAAAGAUUGCACACUGAUCCCCUCUGCCUGUAAAUUUCCCUUACUUCCAUUGCCUUUGACCCAUGAAUCUGGCUCACACUUGCUUCGCUGCUUAAAGGUCACUUCCUCAGGGAAACCUUCCCUGACCUCCCAGCUAUAAAAAUCUACCACAACAGCACCUUGUACUUCCUUUUUCAAAGCACUGUCACACUUGUAAUUUCUUGUCUUCUCAUAAACUCUGUGAGGCAGGUGCCACACCUGCAUAUUUCACUUCUAUAUCUCCCAUAGCUAUCAAAGCAGUAGCACAUUCAUGAGAACAAAUAUUGUCUGAACAAAUUAAUAAAAAAUGAUAAAGACAUGCAAAAGUGAGCUGUACUUCUUGCAUGGACACACGCAAGACAUCACCUUCCAGAGAUACACAUAGGAUUUAAGCACUGGCUUCAAUUACCCCCUCA